UCCCUAUGAGGAUAUAACUCAAAGGGGGAAUUCCAUCCCAAUAUACAUUCUGGGAUGAAACUGAAAUAACAAUCAUCCACGAGGACAUAACUCAGUGGGGAAUAUGGAAGAAAGGAUAAACACUUUUUGCUUAUGGGGCUGACUCUAUAUAGGAAGAUCAGACACAAACAUCUGCUUGGGGAAAUAUACUACCAACUAGCAGGAGAUAACA
RNAcentral lists this long non-coding RNA (211 nucleotides) under Lathyrus oleraceus (garden pea). Its description in RNAcentral is "Pisum sativum (pea) long non-coding RNA (PSAT_LNC005277)". Lineage: Eukaryota; Viridiplantae; Streptophyta; Magnoliopsida; Fabales; Fabaceae. The record is from RNAcentral.